AGUGAACGCUGGCGGUAGGCCUAACACAUGCAAGUCGAACGGCAGCACAGUAAGAGCUUGCUCUUACGGGUGGCGAGUGGCGGACGGGUGAGGAAUACAUCUGAAUCUACUUUUUCGUGGGGGAUAACGUAGGGAAACUUACGCUAAUACCGCAUACGACCUACGGGUGAAAGCAGGGGAUCUUCGGACCUUGCGCGAUUGAAUGAGCCGAUGUCGGAUUAGCUAGUUGGCGGGGUAAAGGCCCACCAAGGCGACGAUCCGUAGCUGGUCUGAGAGGAUGAUCAGCCACACUGGAACUGAGACACGGUCCAGACUCCUACGGGAGGCAGCAGUGGGGAAUAUUGGACAAUGGGCGCAAGCCUGAUCCAGCCAUACCGCGUGGGUGAAGAAGGCCUUCGGGUUGUAAAGCCCUUUUGUCGGGAAAGAAAAGCAGCAGGUUAAUACCCCGCUGUUCUGACGGUACCCAAAGAAUAAGCACCGGCUAACUUCGUG
This 492-nucleotide ribosomal RNA is filed under the name uncultured bacterium. RNAcentral describes it as "partial 16S ribosomal RNA". It matches the Rfam family "Bacterial small subunit ribosomal RNA", at positions 29 to 507 of the family's 1533-position model. The record is from RNAcentral.